UCGCCCCGGGCUCCUCCGGCCGCUCAGCGCGAGGCUGGGGGCCUCGUUUUCCUCCCCGACUCCUCUCGGUGCCCACAGUCUUCUUCUGUCCCAUGCCUCUCCGUCCCCGAGGGGGGCCGGGCCGCCUUGUGACGCCCUCGCGCCGUCCUCGCAGAGUACGUGGCCGAGCACUGGGCAGAGGACACCUUCUUUGGGUACCAGUACCUCAACGGCGUCAACCCCGGCCUGAUCCGCCGCUGCACGCGGAUCCCAGACAAGUUCCCCGUCACAGACGACAUGGUGGCUCCGUUCCUGGGCGAGGGAACGUGCUUGCAAGCGGAGCUGGAGCUCAGCCAGACCCCUGGGCCAGAUUGCCCCAUCUUCCUGCCCAGUGAUUCUGAGUGGGACUGGCUGCUAGCCAAGACGUGGGUACGCUAUGCGGAGUUCUACAGCCACGAGGCCAUCGCCCACCUGCUGGAGACCCACCUCAUUGCUGAGGCCUUCUGCCUGGCCUUGCUGAGGAACCUGCCCAUGUGCCACCCCCUCUACAAGCUCCUCAUCCCCCAUACCCGAUACACCGUCCAGAUCAACAGCAUUGGCCGGGCCGUUCUCCUCAAUGAGGGGGGGCUCUCUGCCAAGGGCAUGUCCCUGGGCGUGGAAGGCUUUGCUGGGGUGAUGGUACGGGCUCU
This 668-nucleotide small RNA is filed under the name Pan troglodytes (chimpanzee). RNAcentral's name for it is "retained intron". Lineage: Eukaryota; Metazoa; Chordata; Mammalia; Primates; Hominidae. The record is from RNAcentral.